Molecule: ribosomal RNA, 305 nt
Filed under: uncultured bacterium
Lineage: Bacteria
Description: bacterial SSU rRNA
Rfam family: Bacterial small subunit ribosomal RNA
Source: RNAcentral
UGCCUACGGGACGCAGCAGUGAGGAAUAUUGGUCAAUGGGCGGGAGCCUGAACCAGCCAAGUCGCGUGAGGGAAGACGGUCCUAUGGAUUGUAAACCUCUUUAGGCGGGGAGCAAUGCCGGGCACGCGUGCCCGGAGGGAGAGUACCCGCAGAAUAAGCAUCGGCUAACUCCGUGCCAGCAGCCGCGGUAAUACGGAGGAUGCGAGCGUUAUCCGGAUUUAUUGGGUUUAAAGGGUGCGUAGGCUGAGUGUCAAGUCAGCGGUAAAAAUUCCGGGCUCAACCCGGUCGUGCCGUUGAAACUGGCG